RNAcentral lists this ribosomal RNA (409 nucleotides) under uncultured bacterium SY2-3. Its description in RNAcentral is "bacterial SSU rRNA". It matches the Rfam family "Bacterial small subunit ribosomal RNA", at positions 8 to 417 of the family's 1533-position model. Lineage: Bacteria; Pseudomonadati; Pseudomonadota; Betaproteobacteria; Burkholderiales; Oxalobacteraceae. The record is from RNAcentral.
AGAGUUUGAUCAUGGCUCAGAUUGAACGCUGGCGGCAUGCCUUACACAUGCAAGUCGAACGGCAGCVCGGGUGCUUGCACCUGGCGGCGAGUGGCGAACGGGUGAGUAAUACAUCGGAACGUGCCCUAGAGUGGGGGAUAACUAGUCGAAAGAUUAGCUAAUACCGCAUACGAUCUACGGAUGAAAGUGGGGGACCGCAAGGCCUCAUGCUCCUGGAGCGGCCGAUGUCUGAUUAGCUAGUUGGUGGGGUAAUAGCCUACCAAGGCGACGAUCAGUAGCUGGUCUGAGAGGACGACCAGCCACACUGGGACUGAGACACGGCCCAGACUCCUACGGGAGGCAGCAGUGGGGAAUUUUGGACAAUGGGGGAAACCCUGAUCCAGCAAUGCCGCGUGUGUGAAGAAGGCCU